RNAcentral lists this unclassified non-coding RNA (314 nucleotides) under uncultured fungus. RNAcentral describes it as "partial contains 5.8S ribosomal RNA and internal transcribed spacer 2". The stretch from base 1 to 133 matches the Rfam family "5.8S ribosomal RNA", at positions 22 to 154 of the family's 154-position model. The record is from RNAcentral. Lineage: Eukaryota; Fungi.
UGGUUCUGGCAUNGAUGAAGAACGCAGCGAAAUGCGAUAAGUAAUGUGAAUUGCAGAAUUCAGUGAAUCAUCGAAUCUUUGAACGCACAUUGCGCCCCCCGGUAUUCCGGGAGGCAUGCCUGUUCGAGCGUCAUCUCUCCCCUCACGCGCCGCGUGGUCUUGGGUCCGGCCGGCUGCGGGCCGGACCUUAAAGCGAGUGGCAGCGCCCGACGGCCCUGAACGUAGUCCUUUUUCGCGUUACAGGCGCCGGCGGGUCGCUCGCCCCCCCCACCCCUUUGACGGUUGACCUCGGAUCAGGUAGGGAUACCCGCUGA